RNAcentral lists this ribosomal RNA (490 nucleotides) under Psychrobacter sp. H65. Its description in RNAcentral is "bacterial SSU rRNA". It matches the Rfam family "Bacterial small subunit ribosomal RNA", at positions 60 to 543 of the family's 1533-position model. Lineage: Bacteria; Pseudomonadati; Pseudomonadota; Gammaproteobacteria; Moraxellales; Moraxellaceae. The record is from RNAcentral.
UGUCGCAGCGGUACAUUUCUAGCUUGCUAGAAGAUGACGAGCGGCGGACGGGUGAGUAACACUUAGGAAUCUACCUAGUAGUGGGGGAUAGCUCGGGGAAACUCGAAUUAAUACCGCAUACGACCUACGGGAGAAAGGGGGCACUUGUUGCUCUCGCUAUUAGAUGAGCCUAAGUCGGAUUAGCUAGAUGGUGGGGUAAAGGCCUACCAUGGCGACGAUCUGUAGCUGGUCUGAGAGGAUGAUCAGCCACACCGGGACUGAGACACGGCCCGGACUCCUACGGGAGGCAGCAGUGGGGAAUAUUGGACAAUGGGGGAAACCCUGAUCCAGCCAUGCCGCGUGUGUGAAGAAGGCCUUUUGGUUGUAAAGCACUUUAAGCAGUGAAGAAGACUCUUCGGUUAAUACCCGGAGACGAUGACAUUAGCUGCAGAAUAAGCACCGGCUAACUCUGUGCCAGCAGCCGCGGUAAUACAGAGGGUGCAAGCGUUAA